This 443-nucleotide ribosomal RNA is filed under the name uncultured bacterium. RNAcentral's name for it is "SSU rRNA". It matches the Rfam family "Bacterial small subunit ribosomal RNA", at positions 369 to 808 of the family's 1533-position model. The record is from RNAcentral.
UNAUGGGCGCAGGCCUGAACCAGCCAGUAGCGUGAAGGAUGACUGCCCUAUGGCCAANUAAACUUCUUNUAUAAAGGAAUAAAGUCGGGUAUGUAUACCCUCUUUGCAUGUACUUUAUGAAUAAGGAUCGGCUAACUCCGUGCCAGCAGCCGCGGUAAUACGGAGGAUCCGAGCGUUAUCCGGAUUUAUUGGGUUUAAAGGGAGCGUAGAUGGAUGUUUAAGUCAGUUGUGAAAGUUUGCGGCUCAACCGUAAAAUUGCAGUUGAUACUGGAUAUCUUGAGUGCAGUUGAGGCAGGCGGAAUUCGUGGUGUAGCGGUGAAAUGCUUAGAUAUCACGAAGAACUCCGAUUGCGAAGGCAGCCUGCUAAGCUGCAACUGACAUUGAGGCUCGAAAGUGUGGGUAUCAAACAGGAUUAGAUACCCUGGUAGUCCAAGGGCGAAUUC